UUUAACUGAAGAGUUUGAUCAUGGCUCAGAUUGAACGCUGGCGGCAGGCUUAACACAUGCAAGUCGA
Molecule: ribosomal RNA, 67 nt
Filed under: Acinetobacter baumannii
Lineage: Bacteria; Pseudomonadati; Pseudomonadota; Gammaproteobacteria; Moraxellales; Moraxellaceae
Also listed under: 1 other name
Description: partial 16S ribosomal RNA
Rfam family: Bacterial small subunit ribosomal RNA
Source: RNAcentral